AGCGGCGGACGGGUGAGUAACACUUAGGAAUCUACCUAGUAGUGGGGGAUAGCUCGGGGAAACUCGAAUUAAUACCGCAUACGACCUACGGGAGAAAGGGGGCAACUCGUUGCUCUCGCUAUUAGAUGAGCCUAAGUCGGAUUAGCUAGUUGGUGGGGUAAAGGCCUACCAAGGCGACGAUCUGUAGCUGGUCUGAGAGGAUGAUCAGCCACACCGGGACUGAGACACGGCCCGGACUCCUACGGGAGGCAGCAGUGGGGAAUAUUGGACAAUGGGGGCAACCCUGAUCCAGCCAUGCCGCGUGUGUGAAGAAGGCCUUUUGGUUGUAAAGCACUUUAAGCAGUGAAGAAGACCUAACGGUUAAUACCCGUUAGCGAUGACAUUAGCUGCAGAAUAAGCACCGGCUAACUCUGUGCCAGCAGCCGCGGUAAUACAGAGGGUGCAAGCGUUAAUCGGAAUUACUGGGCGUAAAGCGAGCGUAGGUGGCUUGAUAAGUCAGAUGUGAAAUCCCCGGGCUUAACCUGGGAACUGCAUCUGAUACUGUUAGGCUAGAAUAGGUGAGAGGAAGGUAGAAUUCCAGGUGUAGCGGUGAAAUGCGUAGAGAUCUGGAGGAAUACCGAUGGCGAAGGCAGCCUUCUGGCAUCAUAUUGACACUGAGGUUCGAAAGCGUGGGUAGCAAACAGGAUUAGAUACCCUGGUAGUCCACGCCGA
RNAcentral lists this ribosomal RNA (711 nucleotides) under uncultured bacterium. Its description in RNAcentral is "bacterial SSU rRNA". It matches the Rfam family "Bacterial small subunit ribosomal RNA", at positions 94 to 803 of the family's 1533-position model. The record is from RNAcentral.